Molecule: ribosomal RNA, 844 nt
Filed under: Zeuxapta seriolae
Lineage: Eukaryota; Metazoa; Platyhelminthes; Monogenea; Mazocraeidea; Axinidae
Description: eukaryotic LSU rRNA
Rfam family: Eukaryotic large subunit ribosomal RNA
Source: RNAcentral
AGUAACGGCGAGUGAACANGAUUANCCCAGCACCGAAGUCUGCGUCCGUUUGGCCGUUAGACAAUGUGGUGUUUAGGUUGGCGCUUUUGAGUGUUGCUCCGUUUCAAGUCCAUCUUGAAUAUGGCUAUUAGUUUGGCCCAAAGAGGGUGAAAGGCCCGUGUGGAUGGAGUGACGCUUGACUGUGCUGGCUGAAGAGUCGGGUUGUUUGAGAACGCAGCCCAAAGUUGGUGGUAAACUCCAUCUAAGGCUAAAUACUGGCACGAGUCCGAUAGCGAACAAGUACCGUGAGGGAAAGUUGAAAAGUACUCUGAAGAGAGAGUUAACAGUGCGUGAAACCGCUUAGAAGCAAACGGGUGUAGUCAAGCUGCAAGCUUCAAGAAAUAGGGUGGUCAGAAUGGCGUGAGCCCUGAGCGCAUUGAGCUGGUGUUUCUGGGUCCGAACUACAUGUUGGGUACGGCAAUAGUCGUAUUUGCGAAGUGCUAUUUGGUGCUGCAAGCCUGUCCAUUAGUUGCUCUGCUGAUCAUCUCACUUUCUUUUAGCGUAUGUCACGACCGUCGUCGCUGUCAGUCUGCUUCAUUUAAACCGUUUCGUUGGCAGUCUCGUGCUACUAGCGUUGCGGAGGCAGGUAGCCGACCGAGUUCACGCUUGGUUGGUCUAAUUGCUGAAUGGAGUGGUAUCUUUAACUGUGCAGUACGAUGGGGCUGGCGGUGCAUUGUUGCUGGGCUCGCUAUAGCGUGUCGGCGUAGUUGGCGUAUGGCWACUUGCUGCUGUUAAAUGAUGGCCUUGUAGUUGCCUGACUGCGGUUUGAUGCGUGGUGAGUUNNNUCAAUUUGUAUUGUGCCUAU